CAGCCGCCGCGGGAAUACAGGGGAUGCAAGCGUUAUCCGGAAUGAUUGGGCGUAAAGCGUCUGUAGGUGGCUUUUCAAGUCCGCCGUCAGAUCCCAGGGCUCAACCCUGGACAGGCGGUGGAAACUACCAAGCUGGAGUACGGUAGGGGCAGAGGGAAUUUCCGGUGGAGCGGUGAAAUGCGUAGAGAUCGGAAGGAACAUCUGUGGCGAAGGCGACUAUCUGGGCCGACACUGACACUGAGAGACGAAAGCUAGGGGAGCAAAUGGGAUUAGAUACCCCGGUAGUCCCUGUCUCUUAUAA
This 301-nucleotide ribosomal RNA is filed under the name uncultured bacterium. RNAcentral describes it as "partial 16S ribosomal RNA". It matches the Rfam family "Bacterial small subunit ribosomal RNA", at positions 509 to 809 of the family's 1533-position model. The record is from RNAcentral.